Strigops habroptila (Kakapo) is the source of this 682-nucleotide long non-coding RNA. RefSeq lists it as uncharacterized. The transcript has 2 exons. The record is from RefSeq and is a predicted model, not a curated record. NCBI's taxonomy places the organism in Eukaryota, Metazoa, Chordata, Aves, Psittaciformes, Psittacidae.
ACUUGCACCAUUUUCUUCAUGUAAAGAUGAAAGUAAUCUAAAGGAAUUUAUUAUUAUCACCUACGACAGUAGGGAGAGGGAGUCUUACUACACAAGAUCAGCAACAGGGUAAGAACGUACAAUGUUAAAUAACAGUAAUUAAAACAUAAGUUUUAUCAGGCUGUGCGCUUGCAGUGAAACGGGAGUGACUUUCUUCACACCGCGGCUCUGAAGACGUAUUUUCUAGCGCACGCAAACACUGAAACCACGUCUCAGGUAGACCCAGGAAGCGAUGUCACCGGCAGCGGCCCCGCUCCGCCACGCAGCACGCCCCGCUCUCCACACGGCGCUCCAGGCAGCCCCAGGCCUGCCCCCGAGCCGGGCGCUGCAGGACGAGCCCCCGAACUCGAGCAGCCGCGUCGCACCGAGCCUCGGCAGCGGGACGCAGGACUGGAUGGCCCCAGAUGAUUUCGGUUGUGGGAAUACAAUGUAAGUGCUUUUGAGCUGCCUCUGGCUCUGCUCUCACGGGGUAUCGUGCCAUACCUUGCUGCUUUGUGAUAACACUUCACUGCUUGGAAGAACCUUGUUCCAGAUGAACACCAGGAGCUCCAGUGCUGGAGAGGGGCCCAGUCCGCCGCCAGCAUCUCCUCACAGACCAAAUCAAACACAGGCUCAAUCUCCAAAUUAAAAGCUGUAGGACAAA